RNAcentral lists this ribosomal RNA (253 nucleotides) under uncultured bacterium. RNAcentral's name for it is "partial 16S ribosomal RNA". It matches the Rfam family "Bacterial small subunit ribosomal RNA", at positions 524 to 776 of the family's 1533-position model. The record is from RNAcentral.
GACGAACCGUCCAAACGUUAUUCGGAAUUACUGGGCUUAAAGGGUGCGUAGGCGGCCUGACAAGUUGGGUGUGAAAUCCCUCGGCUCAACCGAGGAAUAGCGCUCAAAACUGUCAGGCUAGAGGGAGAUAGAGGUGAGCGGAACUUAAGGUGGAGCGGUGAAAUGCGUUGAUAUCUGAAGGAACACCGGUGGCGAAAGCGGCUCACUGGAUCGCUUCUGACGCUCAGGCACGAAAGCUAGGGGAGCGAACGGG